GGGGUAAAAUUAAUAAAAUAAAAUUAAUAAAAUAAAUUUUAAAGUUAAAAAUAUAUAAUUGGGGGGUUAAAGUAUUUUUAAUAGAAAAAAUUUAAAAUUUUAUAGUAAAUUAGUAUUGUAAAAGAAAUUUGAAAUAGAUUAAAAUAAAUUAAUUAGAAAGAAAAUUUAAUUUAUUGUAUCUUGUGUAUCAGAGUUUAUUAAAUAAAUUUUUUGGGGUAAAAAAUUUCGAAUUUAAAAGAGUUAAUUAAUUAUAAAAGUUAAUGUAACAUAAUUAUUUAAAGUAAUUAAUUAGAAAUGAAAUGUUAAUCGUUUUUAAAAAUAUCUAAUUAUUUUAGAAAAAAAUUUAAUUUUUAAUUUAAAUAAUUUUAUAAUUUAUUUAAAAAUUAUAAAAAUUUAAAUUUAAUAUUUUAGGGGAUAAGCUUUAAAUUAAAAAUUUAUAAUAAAAAUUAAUUAAAAUAAAAUUUUUAAAAUUUAUAUUGUUUAAAAAUUAUAAUUUAUUAUAAAAAAUUUUAAUUAAUAUAAAAUUUAAUAAAUAAAAAUUUAAAUUUUUAUAAAAUAAUAAUUUUUAAUUAAAAAAAAAUUAGAAAUAAUGGUGAAAUUAGUAUAAAAAUAUGUAAAAAUUUAAAUAUAAAUUAAAAUUAAUUAAAAGGAAUUCGGCAAAUAUAUAUAUAUAUUCACUUGUUUAUCAAAAACAUGUCUUUUUGAAUUAUAAUUUAAAGUCUAAUCUGCCCACUGAUAAAUAUUAAAGGGCUGCAGUAUAUUGACUGUACAAAGGUAGCAUAAUCAUUAGUUUCUUAAUUGGAAACUUGUAUGAAAGAUUUGAUGAAAUAUAAACUGUCUCUUAAUUAUUAUUAAAAUUUUAUUUUUUAGUUAAAAAGCUAAAAUAAAUUUAAAAGACGAGAAGACCCUAUAGAGUUUUAUAUUUUAUUAUAUUUUAAAAAUUUAUAAAAUUAAUUUUUAAAAUAUAAUAAAAUAUUAUGUUGGGGUGACAGAAAAAUUAAAUAAACUUUUUUUAAAAAUUAAACAUUAAUAAAUGAAUAAAUGAUCCAUAAAUAAUGAUUAUAAGAAAAAAUUACCUUAGGGAUAACAGCGUGAUAUUUUUUUUUAGUUCAAAUAAAAAAAAAAGUUUGCGACCUCGGUGUUGGAUUAAGAUAAAAUUUAAAUGCAAAAGUUUAAAAUUUUGAUCUGUUCGAUCAUUAAAAUCUUACAUGAUCUGAGUUCAAACCGGUGUGAGCCAGGUUGGUUUCUAUCUUUAGAUGAAAAAAAAAUAUUUUA
This 1275-nucleotide ribosomal RNA is filed under the name Coenonympha hero (scarce heath). Its description in RNAcentral is "partial 16S ribosomal RNA". The record is from RNAcentral. Lineage: Eukaryota; Metazoa; Arthropoda; Insecta; Lepidoptera; Nymphalidae.